RNAcentral lists this ribosomal RNA (253 nucleotides) under uncultured bacterium. RNAcentral describes it as "partial 16S ribosomal RNA". It matches the Rfam family "Bacterial small subunit ribosomal RNA", at positions 524 to 776 of the family's 1533-position model. The record is from RNAcentral.
UACGUAGGGUGCGAGCGUUGUCCGGAAUCAUUGGGCGUAAAGAGCGUGUAGGCGGCCCGGUAAGUCCGCUGUGAAAGUCCAGGGCUCAACCCUGGGAUGCCGGUGGAUACUGUCGGGCUCGAGUCCGGAAGAGGAGUGUGGAAUUCCUGGUGUAGCGGUGAAAUGCGCAGAUAUCAGGAGGAACACCAAUGGCGAUGGCAGCACUCUGGGACGUGACUGACGCUGAGACGCGAAAGCGUGGGGAGCGAACAGG